This 275-nucleotide ribosomal RNA is filed under the name uncultured bacterium. Its description in RNAcentral is "partial 16S ribosomal RNA". It matches the Rfam family "Bacterial small subunit ribosomal RNA", at positions 338 to 609 of the family's 1533-position model. The record is from RNAcentral.
CCUACGGGUGGCAGCAGUAGGGAAUAUUGGGCAAUGGCGGAAACGCUGACCCAGCCACGCCGCGUGCAGGAAGAAGGCGCUCUGCGUUGUAAACUGCUUUUAUCCGGGAAGAAUAACCGUUACGCGUAACGGGAAUGACGGUACCGGAGGAAUAAGCACCGGCUAACUCCGUGCCAGCAGCCGCGGUAAUACGGAGGGUGCGAGCGUUGUCCGGAUUUAUUGGGUUUAAAGGGUGCGUAGGCGGCCAGAUAAGUCCGGGGUGAAAGACCAUGGCU